This 910-nucleotide unclassified non-coding RNA is filed under the name Hevea brasiliensis (rubber tree). The record is from RNAcentral. Lineage: Eukaryota; Viridiplantae; Streptophyta; Magnoliopsida; Malpighiales; Euphorbiaceae.
UGUCAAUGGAGGUGGGAAGACAACAUCUCUUGGAAAGUUGGCAAAUAGGUUGAAGAGAGAAGGGGCAAAGAUACUAUUAGCAGCUGGUGAUACAUUUAGAGCAGCUGCUAGUGAUCAGUUAGAAAUCUGGGCUGAAAGGACUGGUUGUGAGAUUGUUGUUGCUGAAAAAGAGAAAGCUAAGGCAUCGUCAGUUAUUUCACAGGCUGUUAAAAGAGGAAAGGAAGAGGGUUUCGAUAUUGUUUUAUGCGACACAUCUGGCCGUUUGCACACCAACUAUAGCUUGAUGGAGGAAUUGGUGGCAUGCAAAAAAGUUGUCAGUAAAAUUGUUAAUGGUGCACCUAAUGAAAUCUUGCUAGUACUGGAUGGAACGACUGGUUUAAAUAUGCUUCCUCAAGCAAGAGAGUUUAAUGAGGUUGUUGGAAUCACUGGGUUAAUAUUGACUAAACUUGAUGGUUCUGCUCGAGGUGGCUGUGUGGUCAGUGUGGUUGAUGAGCUUGGUAUUCCUGUAAAAUUUGUAGGUGUUGGGGAAGGUGUAGAUGACCUCCAACCAUUCAAUGCUGAGGAAUUUGUUGAUGCUAUCUUCCCAUGAGGCAUGAUUCAGUGACAGUUUCUCCUAUAUUCUAAGUGAACUCUCUGGUGUUAACAAGACACAAACAUUUUGGCGAGAGAGGAGUAAUGAGACAUUAGAAAUUUUUGUCUUUAACAGAACGUGUGCCUUAUGCUCCUUUGUUUAUCUAGAUCUGCUCUAUUUCAUUGAGGAUGUGUCAUCAGAAGAGACACUUAGUUGUCCAGUACGACUGAUGCCAUUAGUUGCAUCGCCUUUUUUUAAAAUCAAAAGAUCAGUGUCAUCUCCUUGUCAUUGUUGCAGUAUUAAGUAGUAAUACAGCAUUGUAGUUAAAGUGGAGUUUCA